AUUAAUAAUUAAUAUAUUUAAUAAAAAUAAUUUUAAUUUAAUAAGUAUUUUAAUGGGGGUUAAAGUAUUUUUUAAAGAAAAAAUUUUUAAAUUUAUAGUUAAUUAGUAUUGUGAAAGAAUUUUGAAAUAUUAUGAAAAAUAAUAUUUUUAGAAUGUAAUUUUUAUUUAUUGUAUCUUGUGUAUCACACUUUAUUAAAAAUUUUUAAUUUAUGAAUUAAUUUCUCGAAUUUAAAAGAGUUAAAUAAUUAUUAAAGUUAUUGUAUCAAAAUUAUUUUAAAUAAUUAUUUAGAAAUGAAAUGUUAAUCGUUUUUAAAUAUAUCUAGUUUUUAUAGAAAAAAAUUUAAUUUUAAAUUUAAAAAUUAUUUAAUUAAUUUAUUAAUUAAAUAGUUACUUAAAUUUUAUAAUUUAAGGGAUAAGCUUUAAAUUAAAUUUUUAUAAUAUUAAAUUUUUAUUUUGAAAAUUUUAUAAUUUAUAUUGUUAAUAAAUUUUAUUUUGUUAUAAAUAAUUUCAUUUUUUUUAAAAUUUAAAUUUUAUUUAAUUUUUUAUAUAAAAUUUAUUUAUAAUUAUAUAAAGUUAAUUAUAAUGAUAAAAUUAGUAUAUUAUUUAAUAUUAAAUUAAAAUUAAUUUUUGAUUAAUAAUUAAAUUAAUUAAAAGGAAUUCGGCAAAUAUUUAUUUUCACUUGUUUAUCAAAAACAUGUCUUUUUGUUAUUUAAUUUAAAGUCUAAUCUGCCCACUGAUUUAUAAAAAUUGAAGGGCUGCAGUAUAUUGACUGUACAAAGGUAGCAUAAUCAUUAGUCUCUUAAUUGGUGACUUGUAUGAAAGAUUGGAUGAAAAAUAUACUGUCUCUUAAUUAAUAUAUAGAAUUUAAUUUUUUAUUUAAAAAGUUAAAAUAACUUAAAAAGACGAGAAGACCCUAUAGAGUUUAAUAAAUUAUUUUAUGAAAGUUUUAUUUAUAUUUAUUAAUAAUUUUAUAAAUUUAUUUAUUUAGUUGGGGGGAUAAAAAAAUAAAUUUAACUUUUUUUAAGUAAUUUACAUGGAUAAGUGAUUAAU
This 1050-nucleotide ribosomal RNA is filed under the name Biston falcata satura. Its description in RNAcentral is "partial 16S ribosomal RNA". Lineage: Eukaryota; Metazoa; Arthropoda; Insecta; Lepidoptera; Geometridae. The record is from RNAcentral.